Molecule: non-coding RNA, 244 nt
Filed under: Pan troglodytes (chimpanzee)
Lineage: Eukaryota; Metazoa; Chordata; Mammalia; Primates; Hominidae
Source: Rfam by way of RNAcentral
GCUGGGCGUGGUGGCGCAUGCCUAUAAUCCCAGCUACUUGGGAGGCUGAGGCUGCAGUGAGUCGAGAUUGCACCACUGCAUUCCAGCCUGGGUGACAGAGCAAGAGACUUCUUCAAAAAAAUAAAAAAGAAGAAGAAUGUAGUAAUAUUCUGUCUUUUUUUUUUUUUUUUUUUUUUUGAGACAGAGUCUCCCUCUGUUGCCCAAGCUGGAGUGCAGUGGCACGAUCUUGGCUCACUGCAGCCCC